This 565-nucleotide long non-coding RNA is filed under the name Manacus vitellinus (golden-collared manakin). RNAcentral describes it as "lncRNA (ENSMVIG00005002094.1)". The record is from RNAcentral. Lineage: Eukaryota; Metazoa; Chordata; Aves; Passeriformes; Pipridae.
AAAAUAGUUUGAAGUGUAAAGAGAGUUUGAUGACUUUAUCAAAAUCUUCCUAAUCAUAACUGGCAUCUUUUAAAGGGCGGGUUCCUGCUAAGUGGUCUGUAUAGCACCACUGAUGUGCAAAACAAGAAGUAAAAAUGCCAGAGUUCCUCCUCCUCUCAUUUUUCGUGGUAUAUGGACAGAACUGGUGGAAUGUGAGACUCAGGGGAUAAGAAAGAUGUGGCACUCGAUUCUGCUUUUUAAAGAGUAUCCUAAUUAGAUUGAGGGGGAAAAUAACUGAAAACUUUGGAACAGCUCUUGAGUCUGCACUUGCUCUAAGCUGGAAGAAAAUAAUUUUUAGUAUAUGUUUAAAAUUAUGUAACACAUUUCAGAUGUUGGUUCCGAUUACUGUUGAAAUGACAUUCAAAUCUGGGAGUGUUUCUCGCUGGUUUUGUCCUUUUAAAAAUUUCCACUGUGCUUUUUUUCAUCUUUAAUUAAAUUUCAAUUCGUUUUAUAAUAGCAAUUAAAGUAUUUACAGCAAGAAAUUCUAUCCAUUUGCAAAACUGCAAUAAAUUGUAACAUUUUCACA